Molecule: long non-coding RNA, 1832 nt
Organism: Triticum aestivum (bread wheat)
Lineage: Eukaryota; Viridiplantae; Streptophyta; Magnoliopsida; Poales; Poaceae
Exons: 3
Source: RefSeq, a predicted model, not a curated record
CUCUCGCUCGCCGCUCUCCGUCUCCUCCCCGUCGCCUCUCUCUCUCUCUCCCCUCCGGCAACGCCCUCUCCCUCUCCUCGUCGCCGCUCUCUCACUCUCCUCGUCGCCGCCCUCUCCUCUCCCCGUCGCCGGCCUCUCCCUCUCCCCGUCGCCGGCCUCUUCCACUGCCCUUUUUCCUCACCACCCCGCCUCCACUCAUACCCCGUAAGUCAACAAAAUAUCGAUUCUUUUUGCGCCGGCGACGAGCUUCUAGGCGAAGGACGUGUGGAUGUGUAGCGGCGCCAGAGCUCGAUAUAGGCAACGAAGGCGUGGACGUGGAUCAGUGCCCGAGCGGCGGAUCUGGAGCGGCGGAUCUGGAGCGGCGCCCGAGCAACGGAGGGAGAUGGAGUUCCCUCCUGGCGUGGCGGCUCGAUCUGCAACGCCCGCAGCUGCGGCACGCCACCCUCGCUACUGUCGCAGGGAGAUGCCGCUCUUCCCCUUCCCGGUCCGCCCUGAUGUGGUUUCCUCUCCGUGACCCGUCAUCGGAGGCACGGCCAGAGGCAUCCCCGCCGCGUGCAGCUGCUACUCCCGGACGCCGCCGCCGCCCUCCGCAAGGAGCGACGAUAACCUGAAGCUCUGCGGCCCGGCGUGCGCCGAGCGGCGCGCCGCGGGGGCACCGUCGCCGAUCGGCCACACGACAUCGCUCUCGUCCAGCUAGAAGCAUGCGCUGUCGUGGCCUGCCUCCGGCUGUCGUGAUAAUUUGAUUGAAAAGGGACGGCAUGCUGAGGUGUACAAAGGACAGCUUGCUGAUUGAUAGUUUGUGGCAGUGAAGAGGUUAACAAAAAUACUUAACCAAGCAUGCUGAGGUGAGCAGAGUAGAGACUGUCUACAAUCAUGAUCUAGAGUAGCAUGGAGUAAAAUGUUUGCAAGAGUACAUUUACAGGCAUGAGUACAAUGAAUUAACCAAUUGUUGUCAGUUGAAACUUAAAGUUCAGACAUGAGGUAGUCUUAGAGACCCAUGUACUCCUUGUAUUCAUGUUGUCAGUUGAAGUUGGUAUCUUGCUUGUUUCCAAGUCUUGCGGUUGUACAUGAUGGUUUCAUCAGAUGGAUGUGAACUGAAUGUAUGUCCAGUUUACACCGAUGUAACCUGAUUCUGAAAGAAUGCCACAUACAGAUGGCGUCGACCUUGGCCUCCUCGUCGAUCUGACUCUGCAUUAAGAAAACUUGCUGGCAUCAAGUGUCCCCCUUCCUCCACUGGCAGCCUUCCAUCGAAUUCACAUCAGAAAACUUCAUUCAUUCACCCAGAAAAAAUAACUGACAUUGCCAACAUCUCACAAGAAAGAAGAGAGCAGAGUUGAAGUUGCGAGCCUGUUUACUUGCAGCUACACCUGUGUUCUUCUUCUUCUUCGCAGAAUCAAUCAGAUUCUCUUGAUUGGAGUGGAGAGGAGCAGAGACGAGAGGAGCAGCAGAAGUGGACAGCGCAACGGCUGACCUCGAGCUCUUGAUUGGAGUUGGGGGAGGCGGCCGGCGAAGGAUCUGUGGCCAACAGUGAAGGAUCCGAAGCUGUGGCGGAGCAGGCAGCCGGCGGGAAGGGCGGCCGGCGAGGGAGCUGCGGACCGCGGCGGGGAAGGGCGGCCGAUGAGGGAGCUGCGGACCGUGGCGGGGAAGGACGCCAGAGAUGCGGACGAAGGAGGAGCCUGGCGAAAGGGAGCAGCGACGGCGUAGAAGCCUGGCGGAGGGGAGGAGCGACGGAGGAAGACGCCUCCCGAUUGAUUUCAAAUCGGGGGUAGUAUUGUACUUUCACACUGUUUCACCUGGUCGGAACGACGCCCCCAGCGACAAUUAUUUCGGAA